This is a long non-coding RNA of Amphimedon queenslandica, 135 nucleotides long. RefSeq lists it as uncharacterized. The record is from RefSeq and is a predicted model, not a curated record. The transcript has 2 exons. Lineage: Eukaryota; Metazoa; Porifera; Demospongiae; Haplosclerida; Niphatidae.
UCUAAAGUCAAACAAAUGGAAAAAGAAAAGGCUGCAAGUACAAAAAAGCGAAUGUUAUUAAUAGAAAAUGAACAUUUACAAUCUACUCUAAGGAUCAGAAUAAGUCGAAAGGAAGUACUACAAGACAAUAAAAAA